This 501-nucleotide ribosomal RNA is filed under the name uncultured bacterium. RNAcentral describes it as "partial 16S ribosomal RNA". It matches the Rfam family "Bacterial small subunit ribosomal RNA", at positions 28 to 523 of the family's 1533-position model. The record is from RNAcentral.
GUUGAACGCUGGCGGCAUGCCUUACACAUGCAAGUCGAACGGCAGCACGGGUGCUUGCACCUGGUGGCGAGUGGCGAACGGGUGAGUGAUACAUCCGAACGUACCUUAUCGUGGGGGAUAACGCAGCGAAAGCUGUGCUAAUACCGCAUACGCCCUGAGGGGGAAAGCGGGGGAUCGAAAGACCUCGCGCGAUUAGAGCGGCCGAUGCCUGAUUAGCUUGUUGGUGGGGUAAAAGCCCACCAAGGCGACGAUCAGUAGCUGGUCUGAGAGGACGAUCAGCCACACUGGGACUGAGACACGGCCCAGACUCCUACGGGAGGCAGCAGUGGGGAAUUUUGGACAAUGGGGGCAACCCUGAUCCAGCAAUGCCGCGUGAGUGAAGAAGGCCUUCGGGUUGUAAAGCUCUUUUGUCAGGGAAGAAACACCGGCUCUAACACAGUCCGGGAAUGACGGUACCUGAAGAAUAAGCACCGGCUAACUACGUGCCAGCCGCCGCCGUAA